AUUAAAUACCAAACCUGAAGAUAUGAAUCCCAUACGGCCUUUUCAGCUGUAAUGCAUUUUUUUAUUGGACCAAAACCAAAACCACUUGUGUUGGAGCCAUGUAGCAUAUCGUAAACAAUAUGAAGAUCCUUCUUUAAGGUCUUAAUUCUUGAUUCGAUAUGUGGUUUUGCCUUUAAACCCGAAUUAGGCAAAAAAGCUUGCAUUUUCUCCUCCACAUAAUUUAGAUAGCCCGGCUUGAACCCAUUUUCAGCUUUAUAUAAUCCUAGAUUUACCAUAUCAAGAAGUACUUGAACAAGUUUGGCAUCUUCUUCAUACUUCCAUUUUCUUUUAUUUUUACCACGACCUCUUGUAUCUUGGGUUUGAG
Molecule: long non-coding RNA, 364 nt
Filed under: Erythranthe guttata (spotted monkey flower)
Lineage: Eukaryota; Viridiplantae; Streptophyta; Magnoliopsida; Lamiales; Phrymaceae
Description: long non-coding RNA (EGUT_LNC000953)
Source: RNAcentral